AGAGGAUGCCAUGAUCCAGCUCAAGGGGAUAUCAGCUAUGAAAGAGGAUUAGGAGCCUUGGGUUGGUGACAAAUGGCACAUGUCUCCUACCCAGAGCCUCUUAAGAUGUUCCCCACUUUCUGGAGUUCUGCUCUUUCCUGUAAGAUGCACAAGAGAGGCACAAAGAGAGGGCGAGCCAGGGAAUUUCUGUCUCCCCAGACUUCUGCUUAAUGGCACCUCAGAAGGAAGCCCUCAGACAAGGCACAAAGACACCAACCAGAGUGGAAGACAGGAGACAGGAACCAGUUCUGGCAGUCAUGGUCCUAAGCCUGGCUCUCCCCCAGGUCUGAGUUUCUGGCUGUGUUCUUCUGGAAGACACGUAACCUUGGAGGAAGGGUGAGCAGACAGCCUCAACUCUGACUCACACAAAAGAGAGCUCAUUGUUUUUUCCCUUGGCCACAUAAGCCAACCAGAGCAUAGGCUCCAGUCGGCCUGGCCUGCUGUGUCUGGGGCUCAAGUCUCACUUCACUACUUCCCAAUGGUGGACACG
This 529-nucleotide long non-coding RNA is filed under the name Cricetulus griseus (Chinese hamster). RNAcentral describes it as "lncRNA (ENSCGRG00015042316.1)". The record is from RNAcentral. Lineage: Eukaryota; Metazoa; Chordata; Mammalia; Rodentia; Cricetidae.